UCUCUUUUAUGUAUUUCCUGGGAUCGUUUCCCAAAACUACUUGGAUUCUUGUCUCCGGGUUGGCUUCUGGAGGACUCUAAAACCAUAACUGCUCUUAUCACUACAGCUGACUUCUUUGAAACCAUGAAAAUACUGCUUUAUUUGCAUUCGUCUUCUGCUAGUUAGAGUCUACCUUCAUAAAACCUAAAAUCCAACAAAAAAUUAAGACCAAAAUACAAAUAUUUCUCACAGUACCUCUCACAUAGAAGUUACUCAAUCUGUAUUUAGAGAGCAAAGAAUAAUGGGAGAUCAAAAGAUUACUCUGUGACUAUAAAAAUAGAGCGAGGACUAUUGAUUGGUUACUAAGAAUAUUUUACAAACUUUUAUGGUUUGACACACCCUUUUAAUGGUGGUAUGUCUACCUAAUAUAUCUGCACCUUCCCAAAAUCCCCUCCCCUCGAUGUCAGCAUCAGGACUCCCCUCCUCCUCUAGCUAGAUUUGAGAGACACUUGCCAUUAUCUCAUCAUUAUUUUAUCAUGUUAAUGUACUUGUGUAACCUUUUAUAUUUUCUAAAUAUGAAAAAUAUUUUACAGAGAUUACAUUUGACGCAGCUGCUUCCUGAAGACCUAGAGAUCACUUUAAUCUUACAAGCACAUUCUUCAGAUUGUCGUGUGGGUGGGUAACUUCCGCCAGACUUUUCUGGAGAUGGCUAAUCCAGCCGUGGGAUGUGGUUUCUUCUAACAGCCAGUCAGGAAAAUCUUGCUUCUCAAACUCCUGUCUUGACCCCUUCCUGAACUUUGCCUCCUGGAUCUUGAGGUCUGCCUUCUGUGGAAGAGAAAUACUAGAAUCAAUGAACUGUGAACUAGAGCCCUGGGAUUAUCAACAGCCAGCUGAAAUUUUGAGAGCCACCUUAUAGAAAGCCUAACAGCAAAGACUGGAGAGAGGCUUCCAGCCAACAGCCAGCAAGGAAUUGAAGCCCUCAGUCCAAUAGCAGUGAGGAAUUGAAUCCUGCCAACAGCCUCGUGGAUGGGUUGCUUGCUGCCUGAAUCUAACUCCUGCUACUACUGCAAAUACCACUGCCAUGAAUAUCCUCAGCAAGACCCCCUUCCAGACCUGCAUGAACAACCGACUGCUUCAUGCUGGGCUUCAGACAUGAGAGGCUAGGAGUAGGAGGCAUGCCUUGUUCAAAGGUCUUAAAUGUGGGAAAUAGUCUACAGUUUGGAAGACACCAGAGAAAAAUGCUCCACAGCUCGCCCUGGUGACUCACUACAACUUAUGGGAAGAUGUGAGAUUAUUCUGUAUUCUAAUGUAUGUUAGAAGGCACACUCCACCCAAAGCCUUCCUGUGUGUUCCUCCCUGUGAGCUCACAUCCCGUUCACCAGCUGACUGGGAAGGGAAGUCAGGACCAGCCCUGACCCCAUCACACCAUCAUAACCUCGGGAUGGCAGGGCUGGAAGGCACCUCAGACGUCAUCCUUUGCAGACUCUUCAUUUUACAGUGAGAGGCAUGACGUGUCCACAGCUGGUUAGUGCCAAAGCCUGGGACAGGCUUCACAUUGUCCAGCUCUUAGUCAGAGCACUGUUGACAAUGUCUGCCUUCACUUGGAAUUCAGCACCUGCUUUCAGUAUAAACCCCUGCAUUUCACUAAAACUGAGCAGACUGCUGGUUUAAAAAAGAGAGGUCCAUCCAGCAGGGAUGAUGCUUUUCCUCGUUGAAAGAGGACAUUCACCUAAUGGGAGACCUGGAGUCAGAAUCUUUCUGAUGUGUGACUUGGCACAGUAACACAAUGCAGGAUGCUGGUGUGUUAAUAAAAAUAAAAAUUGCAUCGCCUACCUCAGAGUCGACAACAAUGUCAAGGAGUUAAUAGUCUUGGCAACACAGAGGCCACUGGACAGAGGCAUAACCUUGCGUGGCAGCUGCACGGGAAUUGGAUUUGGCUCAGGUGUUUCAGAUGACUAAGAACAAAGGGGACCACUCUUGGUAUAGAAGUUCAUCUCGUCGGGAGCAUCUGUGGUUCUUUUAUAAGCAAUGUACAUUCUACAAUAGAGGCAGACCCAGAAAUAAUUCAGAUAUUGGAGUUAGAAGAUCAGGAUUCUAAAAAAACCAAAAGAUCCUGCCUUACUAUGCACCUAUGGCCCUUCAAAGGCGAGAGUAGAAUCUGCUAUGAUUUAGAAGCAAGCAAUAAAAAGUACACAUCAGGUGAGUGGAUGCUAGCUAAGACCUUGGGCUUUGGGGUCAGACAGGCCUGGGUUUAAAUCCUGGCCCUGUCAUUCUGGGGAAACAUGUUUCUGCUUUCUCCUAUAUGAAAUAGAGGCAGUGGGUAUCCUGAACAUGUCACCUUUACUUGUCCAGCUUGUCAGUUAGGGUUUGGUUAGGGAAACAGAGCUGCUGUAAACAUUAUGGGAAUAAGGGAUUUUAUUCAGAAUUGGAGCCUGCACAGAUGUAGAAGGAGGCAUGAAGAGGGUAUUGGAGGAUUGCCCACUAUGCAGUCUGCAUCCUGAGUCUGUGGUGAGGCUGGACACGUUCAAGCUUACAGGAGAACUGGAGAAAGCAAGCAACACAGCGGUGGAAGUGAGACCACUGAAGGUAAGCUUGGGAGGGGGUCCCGACACCACCACAUCAGUGGAUCCACAGCUAAGUGAUUGGUGGUGGCCUGGGGUUCUGCUGUUUAGCAGGGACAAGAGUGGAGGAGACAAACUGGACUCGGAACAAACUGGGAGCCUCUGCAUCCAUCCGUAACUGUCUGGCCGUGACAGUGGUUAGAGAGGAGUGGCUUCUGUGAAACUCUCACAAUCUCAAAUCUCCCACAAGUGCCUCUUUCAGCUAACUCUAAACUGGUACCAUAGAGGAAAUGGAUUCUGAAAACUUGGUCUCCAACCUUAGACAAAUUGAAUAAUUAAUAUGUCCUCUCCUGCUUCUUCUGUAACUGAAUUUGCAUUGGGAAGCAGGCCUGUCACUCUCAGACUUUGUGGUUUGAGUAGGGCUCACUUCAGCACCACCUUUUCCUCUUCUCAGCCCCACGGACUGGCAUGAGACUCAGGCCUGGCCAACUGAAUGUCACACACCUAUGACCAUCAGUUGGCUCAGAGAUGGACUCAGGACACCAUCACAGCCAAUGAAACCCUGUUAGGGAAAUUUGUCAGAACCAUACAAAGAAAUAGCUCCACUUUUCCAUAGAGAUGAGACAUAAGCCUGGACUAACUGGUGUCCAAUUUGCCAUCAAGAGAGCAUCUGAGAAGACAGAGGAAAACUGGGGAAAGCGAAGUCUAAGGAAGGUGAGUAAGGACAAGUCCAGUUGAUAUUACAUGAAUCACCUGGACCUGGAAAUCAAGGCAUUGCUGGAUUCAAGGCCAAGAAAAAUUGGAAGCUGGCUUGAAUCAGGUUCUAUCACUUGCAGUUGAAAAGGUCCAGACUAAUAUGAUAACAAAGGAGCAAGUAAGCAAGAUUCUGCCCUACAGUAAGUGCUCAAUGCAUGUCAGCUGGUAUUAUUAUUAUACAGACUUCUAUUUCUAGCCCUUUUAUUUCUACCACCUCUCUUCUGUGUUUUAUGUAAAGUGCAUAAGGAUUGUUCUGUUUGGAAACAUCAAACCAUAUAAAAUGACACCAGCAGGUCCCUUUCUGUCUGUCAGUGUCCACAAGCUCAACAACCAGGAUCAGCAGACAAAAACAGCUAAGCUGGAGUCAGUGUUUUUAUGAAGAAACAGGAAAAGAACUUACUUGGGAACUGUAGCUCAUCCUCCAAUAUUCUCCAUCCUAUCACUCUUUUCAUGACAGUUUCUUCUUGGCCCUGAAGUUGCCUUGUCAUGGCUCCCUGCCUCUGUCCUUUCUCUGUCUCACUUACAUCUUCCAAUGAGGAAUACAGCAAGACCUUUGGAUGAGGACCUCCAAAGGUCCUCAGUAUCCUUAGGACACUCGGUGCAGAACUAGAGGGACUGAGAGGAGGAGCUUUUGCAGGUUAAAUGACUAGUGAAUGGCCUUUCCUUAUAUUUCCAUUAGAAAUGGGAUUAGCUACACCUGAGAAGGAAUGACUUUGGAACAACUGAUCCCUAGCUUUCCAAAAUAUGAGAAAUUGAGAUGCAGGGAGUAGUAAGCACCUAGUUAAUGAGUCAAAGCAUAUUUAUAAAGUUCACAGGGUACAUAGCAUAUAGCAGCUGUUCUCUAUCUCAGUUGAGUUUUGACUAGGAAAUGGGCUUAGGAUAAAACACAUAGGCUUUUGAGUAAUCAUUUGUAAGAAAUUGUAGAUAGUGACCACAGUUUAAUAGCAUUAGAUAAAUUAUGAAAAGUCACUGAAAUACCUUCUCUGGAAAAUGUUAGAAGCUCAAGUACAAUGGCUUAGUUAAAGGCAGGUGGGGGAGAAACUUGAAGAAUGUGGUCCAGUACAAGAAUACCCCAUUUUUCCCCUAAGGCAAUGAAAAUGACAUGAAGUAAUCAUAGUUAUUUAUACAGGAACAAUUUAGGAGACUUAGAAUAUUCACUUCUUUUGCCUUCUAGCUGAGCAUCAAAAUUCUCUCUCUGUCUCUGCCUCUCUCUCUCUAUUUUCCACUUCUAGCUCCAACUAUUUUAAAUCCCUCCCCCAAUAGAACUCAUAACAAACAUAAAACAACAUUUGUUGUAUGUUUACAAUAGAUGUUCAAGCUAAUAUUUAUGUAGGCUUAGCCCUGGCAUUAAAUUAAGGUUUGGUUCACCAACAGGGUGCCUAGAGACUUCACCUCUAUUUCCAUGAGGGACUGAACAGCCUCUUGAGAAGGGACUCAUCAAAAUGGAAGAGUUGGCAAUAAGAAGUUUGGCUAAAUAACCAAGCACUGAAGUUGCAGAGGAGAAAGGAUUUGAAAGGCAGUACAGUGUCCAGGGGCAAGUUGGCAAUUUUUAGCAGGAGGUGAAGUGAUGCCAGCAGAGGUAACAGUGCUCAGAGGGACCAGUAGUCCCCAGGAGGAGCAGGGGAAUCCCCAGUGGAUCUGAUUUGUUCAAGAGCACAUGUGAGAUUAUCAGCUGGCGUUACAAUUUUGGAGUGGCAGUGAGAAGCAGUGAAUUUGAGGUCACUCAAUUUGCAGACCCCAAAGGGUGAAAUGUUGAGAAACAUGAGUUACACAUGUAUUUAACAGCUCUUGUGUAUUAUCACAAAUCCUAUUUCACCUCUCAUGCCCCCGAGGCUUUGGUGUCCAGUUCUCUGAAGACUUCAUCAAUCCUCAGCCAUAAAUCACCUGAGAGCAACUCACCUUGCUUCAUACUAUGAAGCUCCCUGAUGUCACAGCAUGGCAGGCCUGUGGCAACCCCUCAACACUUAUGCAUGAUCCCAAACAGCUAGAGGAUUAACACCUACGGUGUAACCCUUGACCAGCAGGAAAUGGAAAUUACUGUCUUUUUGUCCCCGCAGGUGAAUGGUUCUAAAAUGCAUUUUAUAAGCCUUCUGAAAUAGUCCCACAGGUCAAGCACCUACUUGCUCCAGUGGUGACCAACUCAAUGAUGCAUCCUUGGGUUGACUCUCCCUCCUUUCCAGUUCACUUUCCCCGCCCCUCACUCCUGCACCUCAGCAUCACAUUCCUGAAUAAACCACUCACACAUCUGUCUUAUUUCAGACUCUGUUUGGGGGAAUCCACAAUAAAAAUUUGUCAUUUUGAGUUAAACAUUGCUCUCACCUUGAAGACAUAUUUCCAUACCUAGAGAUUUCUGAAGUUCUCUCCCUUUUCCUAUCAUCUCCUUUGUGCUUUGUCUGACCUCCAUGUUACAGAGCCCCAUGAUAUUUAGAGCCAGUACUGCUAGGGAAGUAGUUCAGUUGUGUUUUAAAUGGUUCAGCAACUUGUAACAUCAACUGAGAACCAGAGGAAUACACUUGGAGGCCAAGAAAAAAAUGUUAGCUAAUAUGUACCAUACAGUAUGAUUCCUUGGGUAAGGGAAAGUAUAUGCAAGUGACAGAGGAAAAUUGAAAGUUGUAGCCCUUUUUUGGACUUUAGAUUUGGAAUUAAAGUUUCUCUUCUCUUGAAAGACCUUCUUUUUGUGGAUAAUGAUGAAUCUGAAGACCAGAACAGUGGGCCAAUUUGCCUUAGUUGAGAGUGGCAAAUAAAUGAAGAACUGAAGAACGUAUCUCUUUAACUAGUGCUCCUUUGUUGAGAAGAUACAAAACAAACAAUUGAAGGGUAUGGAUGAAGCCAUUGGCUUAUUCAUGUCUCUGUUGAUCAUAAUGAGAUUAAUAUAUAUAGGACAUUCACACAAAGAGGAUAUUGACUCGAUGGCUUACAGAUUAUUAGAGUUAGAAAUGUGACCUACUACUAAAGGAAGAAUGUUUCAGGUGUGGAUCUCUGAUUUAAAAAAUACACCACACUUGCCUCAGUGAAGCAAGUCAACUUAGGUGCUGAUACAAUGCCACUGCAGCUGUGCUGAGUUCAUGAAAUCAGAUCCCACUCUCUUCACCUACCCCUACCGUAUUCAUCCUACUUUCCGUCUGCUCUGCCCUUCCCAUUUGGUAACCUAGUCAUGAAACACCUGGCUCUGGGUCCUUCCUUCAGCAUCACUCCACGUUGUACUGCUGGCAUCGCUUUUCUUGGCACAGAACCUCUUAGGGCUGCUAUCCUAGGAGUAGGUGCUACUCAGGCUGGCUUAGUCCCAGGCUUCACUCACUUCUUGGCCCAUGGCCAGGAGGACCGGAAAGAACAAACUCUCUGCACAUCUCUGCAGGUGGCCACAGAGCCCCCAUCUGAGCCUUGCUGAUGGAGAAGAGCAUGCUGCAUCACAAGAUAACUGUGUGGCUCUGUUCAAAAACCUUGUUUAGAAGUUAUUAUUUCUUUUAUUGCAUUAGAAUUUGCCUCACUGUAGCUUUUGUGCUUCUGUCCUGGUUCAGCCUUAGAUAGCAGUGCAGCCUGGUCCAUGUGAAAGCUCUUGCAAUAGGCCUUUCUGCUAGUCAGGAGUUCUCAGACCCAUCCCUACUCUUCACUUUUCUCAAGACUAAUAUCAGACUCCUGGGCUCUUCAAGGUUUCCUCAUAUGAUAAAAGUUCUAAGCCCUCCAUUGUCCUAGUCACUGUCCUCUCUGUUCCAUCCCUGUCUGCCCUUCCAAGAUGCUGCACCUGGAGAUGAAUUUGUCCUUCCUGGGGCAAGUCACCAUGAGAUGAUUACUUUUGGAUCAUACUGAAUUUGUGGGUUAAAUAAACUCAUAGGUCUUUAUCUCAUGCACUAAAUCCAAAUUCGAUCUCUUGCCGUAAAUCAUUUUUUUGAAUAGCUGAACAAUAAGUAAAUAAUACACAAAUGAAAACUAAUCAAUAUUUGAACAUCCUCAGUAUUUUCAGCCCUAGUUUGAGCCAGACAUAGCUCAUCUUGUAUACUUCACUAAGGACACUUUAUACGAUCAAGCAAUUAAUAUUAUGAUGUCAUGUCUCGCAAGCCCCAUAGUGUCACUUCCAGUCUCUUCACCACAAAGAACGUUGAAGCCUUCGUAUUUUUUUGAAAAUCAUAUUUCUAGCUGCAGGAUGGGAUGUAAGAAAAGUUCAGAUUAGGAUUAUUCUAGGCUCCUGACUAUAACUAAAAUCCUGAUUUUUUAUGGAAAGGAAUGAGGAUCAUUCCUUCAAAUUAGAUUUUUGUGAUAAAAAGAAAAAAGUUGGUAAUCUAUUCAAAAUUGUAACAAAAAUAACUGCAUUUUUCUUUGGAAAAUAAUAGUUGAUUCCUUUUUGCUUUUUUUACUUAUGAAUUGGGGUGCAAUAGAGUUUAAUAAAAAUGAUGUGAAACACUCUUAUAAGGCUAAUUUAUCACAUUUGCUUCAAGGAAUUGUCCUUUCUAACAAAAUUGUGAAAUGGAACUGAACAGUAGCAUGAUGAGGCCUCUACCAGGAGGAGGUACAGAACAAGGCAGGAGGUCAGUGGUUAAAGGACUCCUUGCUUAUGCUCAAGAAAUGUGGACCUUAUUAGAGGUGACACAGUGAAAUCAGUCACCUGAUUUCGCAGGUGACUGUGGAGCAAGAAUGCAAAUCCACAAUAUUAGGAUGAAUGUGAGAGGAGAAGGGAAGGAGGCCAUGAGGGAAAAAAGGACAUCUAAUUGGGUCUGAAAGGAAGGGUAGAAUUUAAGUAAAGAGCACUGUGUACAUAUGGGAAUACCAUGUACUUUCUCAUGGAGAGAGGCCUUCUGACAGUCCUGCAUUGAUCCUGCUUCUUUGACCAUCCCUUGUUAGCCAGCAGGUCAUUUGGCCUCACUAGUUGCCUCAGUGCUGAGUGAUAGACUCAGCAGUCCCCAGCCUCUUUGGCACCAGGGACUGGUUUUGUGGAAGAUAAUUUUUCCAUGGAUCAGGGAGAGGAUGGUUUCAGGAGGAUUUAAGUGCAUUACAUUUACUGCGCACUUUAUUUCUAAUAUUAUUACAUUGUAAUCUAUAAUGAAAUAAUUAUACAAUUCACCAUAAUGUAGAAUCAGUGGGUGCCCUGAGCUUGUUUUCCUGCAACUAGAUGGUCCCAUCUGGGGGUGAUGGGAGACAGUGACAGAUCAUCAGGCAUUAGAUUCUCAUAAGGAAUGCACAACCUAGAUUCUUCACAUGUGCAGUUCACCAUGAGGUUCACGCUCCUAUGAGAAGCUAAUGCCUCCGCUUAAACGACACAGGAGAUGGAGCUCAGGUAGUAAUGAGUGAAAUGGGGAGCAGCUGUCAAUACAGAUGAAGCUUUGCUUGCUUGCUUGCCGCUCACCACCUGCUGUGCAGCCUGGUUCCUAACUGGUACUGGUCAGUGGCCUGUGGUUGGGAACUCCUGGUAGACUAACAACAGAACAAAGCCAAGUCUCAAGGAGAGACAGUUGUAUAGAUGCCUUCCUGCCCAUUCUCUGUUGUGGGGGCCAAAUCACACAAGACCUGCAUUUAAUUCUUUAUGGGCUUAGGCUGUGAAUUAAUGUAAAAUCUCAAGAAACCAAGAUGACAGGCCAGGGACUAAAGAGCAAAAGAAAGACCACAGCUAUGGUGGGCGAGGAGACAAAGUCAAUCCCACCGGGACAGAUGGUGAUGACCCUUAUCAGUUCUAUUCUGUCAUCUCAUAAAGGUAAAGACUUGUGUUCUUUUUCUUAGGACAGUCCAGAUGGUAUUGGCUGUGCUUAAAGAAAAUUCAGACAUGUGUGAGUGUGGCUGGAAUUGACAUUCAUGAGGUCUUCCGUUUUUAUUUGAAAGGGGCAGAGUAAGUAUUUGUGAACAUUGGAUGGUGAUGAAGAAAAGGAAAUGGUGUCUAGUAUCCUACCUGGCCUCAUGGACCAAGACUAGAAGGAUUAGAGGCAAAGUCGAAGGAAGCUGCCACCAUAAAGGGUUCUGUGAAUGCUGUUUGGCUGAAAUGUGUGACAAAGCACUGGGAAGGGUUUCAUUGCAUUAGCUCAGGCCAUAGCACGACCCUUAACCAACACCUUAAGGUGAUGGUCCCCUUGGCAUAAAUAUUGGUGUUAAAAUCGAGGUUAACCUUAGUGAUAGUAUGGUUAAGAGUCCCCUGCAUGACUUUGGAAGUUGAAGAUGCUGAUCAGGAGAACUAGAGCAGGAAAGAGAAAAUAUGACUGAGGCUAAGUGGUGACUUGGUAUUGACUGAUAGGUGAACACAGGAAUGAAUUUCAGCGAGAACCCCCAGUAACUGUCUGGGGAGUGGAGACUGUGUAUGAACAGGACAGAAAAAAAAGCAGAUUCGGGUAGUGUCCUGUCGUGUGUCUCUUUUACAGUCCUGAAAUGAAGGACUUUCAGUGUUUUCAUUGAGCACCAAUCAAUUCCCUCUUUACAAAAGACCAUAUUGGAACAGCAUCAAGGUUUAGGGAUAUUAAAGCAAUACAGUGACACUGGAAUGACCACUGAGAACCAGCGAACUUCUUCAGCCCUUAUAUCCUCAGGCACUCUGGAAGCCAUGAAUCUGGUUUUCUUGCUAAACUGUGUGUACUGCACAGAGUACAAUGGUAAAGGAACAAAUAUUGGCUCUAAAAUCUCUUGUAAAGGGAAGGGUGGUCAUCCCUUUAGAUGGCAAAUUGAGUUUCUGUAAUGGGGUUUGCUCUGAUGUUGCAUUUCCACUCAGGCAUCAAGACAUUCUGUUGUUUAAAGCCCUAGAUGGGUGAUAUUUCUUUCAUGUGCAAGGCCCGAAUGCUUCACUGAGCUCUCUCUUACCCACACACACUCAUUUAAACCUUGGUCAAAAUUAUCCUUUAGCAUCUGCAUCUUCUCAGAAGGCGGAAGGGUCAAUGGGGAUAAUCAGGAGAGAUGAGGUGCACUUUCAGAAGUUGGAGCUGAGAAGGUGAUGGAAGUAUCUGUAAAGUCGUUGAACAGCUGCACGAACUAUAGGGGAAGCAUUUCUGGAGGCAAAAGGGGAAUAGCCCUUUCCUCUUAAACCAAAGCGAGCACAGCUCCAAAGGCACUUAGAUGGAGAGUUCAUCGGAAUGUGAGCUCUAAGAGUGGCUGAGAAUCUGACAAAAACAGCCAUCUGCCAACCCAAAAUUAAAACUCCUCUGUUUAGCACCCAGUAGAGAAAGUCAACCAGAUUGACUUCGCAAACAAAGGACCUUAAAAGCAUCACCUAAGAAAGUGUGUCAGGAUCCACAGACAUCCAGAGCAUUCUCUAUGGUUCAUUACUUACAUUAUUCUUAUCUAUUUACACAUAAUGUUUAGAUGUAAAAUCCUUACAAUGAAAAGGGUGUAUAUGCUUUAAAAAAGGCACAACAGGGAUCUAGAACUAGAAAUACCAUUUGACCCAGCCAUCCCAUUACUGGGUAUAUACCCAAAUGAGUAUAAAUCAUGCUGCUAUAAAG
Molecule: long non-coding RNA, 10705 nt
Filed under: Homo sapiens (human)
Lineage: Eukaryota; Metazoa; Chordata; Mammalia; Primates; Hominidae
Description: HSALNT0047139
Source: RNAcentral